AUCACGUCUCAGCCUUUGGCUAAGAUCAAGUUUAGGUAUCUGUUCUUAUCAGUUUAACAUCAGAUACAUCCUCUGAGGACAAUAUAGUACAUGGAUUUUUGGAGCAGGGAGGUAGAACAGGAGCUUGCUCCAUCCUUGCCGGUCAUUGGCCUGGUAAAUGUGGCACCUCUGGGAAUGGCGCACCGCCU
Pteronotus mesoamericanus is the source of this 188-nucleotide small nuclear RNA. RefSeq annotates it as U2 spliceosomal RNA. The transcript has a single exon. The record is from RefSeq and is a predicted model, not a curated record. NCBI's taxonomy places the organism in Eukaryota, Metazoa, Chordata, Mammalia, Chiroptera, Mormoopidae.